GCCUUCAUGGUGUAACGGUAGCACACUCGGCGCAUAUUUGAGAGGCCUAGGUUCGAGUCCCAGGUUCGAGUCCCGGCGAGGGCA
RNAcentral lists this transfer RNA (84 nucleotides) under Stegodyphus mimosarum. It matches the Rfam family "tRNA". From Rfam's summary of the family: Transfer RNA (tRNA) molecules are approximately 80 nucleotides in length. Lineage: Eukaryota; Metazoa; Arthropoda; Arachnida; Araneae; Eresidae. The record is from Rfam by way of RNAcentral.